AACCCGUAGAUCCGAUCUUGUGAUAAGUUUGAUGGCACAAGCUCGAUUCUAUGGGUCUC
This 59-nucleotide microRNA precursor is filed under the name Danio rerio (zebrafish). RNAcentral describes it as "Dre-Mir-10-P2c1_pre stem-loop". It matches the Rfam family "mir-10 microRNA precursor family", at positions 8 to 66 of the family's 74-position model. Rfam says of the family: In this case the mature sequence comes from the 5' arm of the precursor. RNAcentral also lists the same sequence under 1 other name. The record is from RNAcentral. Lineage: Eukaryota; Metazoa; Chordata; Actinopteri; Cypriniformes; Danionidae.